GAUACCGGGGUAUAGCCCAUGGAAACGUGGAUUAACACCCCAUAGUACUUUUAUCCUGCAUGGGAUGUGAGUUAAAUGUUUCAGGUAUCGGAUGGGCAUGCGUCCUAUUAGUUAGUUGGCGGGGUAACAGCCCACCAAGACGAUGAUAGGUAGGGGUUCUGAGAGGAAGGUCCCCCACAUUGGAACUGAGACACGGUCCAAACUCCUACGGGAGGCAGCAGUGAGGAAUAUUGGUCAAUGGACGUAAGUCUGAACCAGCCAAGUCGCGUGAGGGAAGACUGCCCUAUGGGUUGUAAACCUCUUUUAUAAGGGAAGAAUAAGUUCUACGUGUAGAAUGAUGCCUGUACCUUAUGAAUAAGCAUCGGCUAACUCCGUGCCAGCAGCCGCGGUAAUACGGAGGAUGCGAGCGUUAUCCGGAUUUAUUGGGUUUAAAGGGUGCGUAGGCGGUUUAUUAAGUUAGUGGUUAAAUAUUUGAGCUAAACUCAAUUGUGCCAUUAAUACUGGUAAACUGGAGUACAGACGAGGUAGGCGGAAUAAGUUAAGUAGCGGUGAAAUGCAUAGAUAUAACUUAGAACUCCGAUAGCGAAGGCAGCUUACCAGACUGUAACUGACGCUGAUGCACGAGAGCGUGGGUAGCGAACAGGAUUAGAUACCCUGGUAGUCCACGCCGUAAACGAUGCUCACUGGUUCUGUGCGAUAUAUUGUACGGGAUUAAGCGAAAGUAUUAAGUGAGCCACCUGGGGAGUA
Molecule: ribosomal RNA, 747 nt
Filed under: uncultured bacterium
Lineage: Bacteria
Description: bacterial SSU rRNA
Rfam family: Bacterial small subunit ribosomal RNA
Source: RNAcentral